GAAGAUUCUGAGGAAAAGACACAUGUGGAUGGAGGAGAUAAUCUUUCCAAGAACCUUUUCACUUAUUACCGGGCUUAUUCAGGGAAGCACAUCUACUCUCAGAACUCAGAGGAAAAGGAGUUUGGAGGAAAGACACUCUCUCUGGGAAUUUUGGGGUAAAGAGAGAUUGGGAGAAGGAGCUUUGGGCAAAAGAAACCCCUUUGAGGAGAAAACAAGAGUGGGCUCUAUGGCCCAUCCUCACCUUGUUUUUAAUAAAGGUCGGUUCCUUUGCCCCAGAGGAAACUUUCCAGUUUUGCCCCACCAAUUACUUCAGGAUUGCUCUCUUGGAAAACCAUCUAGACCGAUGGCACCAGGGACAAGAUCUUUGUGGCAGGGAACUUGUUCUGGGAACAUUCCAUUAGUAAGGGCUUCCUCUCUGGGGAAGACGGCAAGAGAAAUUUCCCAUUUAAUUUAAUAAAAUAGAGGCCGCUGAAGCAUUCCUGAUGAAAAGACAAGAGCUGAGAAGAAAAUGUGACUUGCAAAUUGAAGACUCAAAAGCAGCAUUCAAAGGUAAAUAUGAUAGAGACCUCUCAAGUAACUCAUUAUUGAUACACUAUGUACUCUUCUAAAAGGGAAGAUGAUAACCAUAUCUCCUAAGAAUUUUAUCUUUACCAGGCAGGUAGAAGCAUUCAAGCUAGAAAGAGGUUUUGGAACUGAACCAUCUGGAUGGGGAUGAUGUAAAAUAGAUAGGUGAGAAAUAUGGAUGCCCUGGGAGAUGGUAGAAGGGAGAGAAAAAAUGGAGGAAAUGAUCCCAUAAAAUAAGCAUUCAAGGAAGAGGUUUUGCCUUGGAGUGGAAAAUGAUGAUGAGGAGAGUGACCAAUUCUUGAACCUCCUCACCAUCUAAAAGGCUCAAGGGGAAAUAUCGAUAUCAGUAUUUAUAUGUAUUUUCCAAUUUGGGCCGAAAAUCUUUUUACCCUAAAGGUAAGUAGGCAAAUGGGAGAGGAGAAGAAAAAGUGGUGAUAAACGUUGGGAAGUUAAAAGAAUGCAGUGGUCAUAUGCAAAAUAGAACUUAGCAGGGGAAUGGGGAUAAAAAGAAAGAAAGAAGGAAAAACAGAAUCAACUACAACAUGACUGUGUUAGUGGGAUGAACUCACUCCUAAAUGCAAGUGAGCAGUAAAAUGAAUUAGAAACCAGACUUCAGACUAUGUUUGUUUGUUUGUUUUUCUUUUUUUUUUAUUUUGAAAAGAUUCAUAUUGGGAAAGAAGAACCAGAGUUAAAAAAUGAGGGCUGAAGAGGAAACUUUACCCUUAGAAGGAUAAAAAACAUAAGGAAGCAAUCUUGAUGUCAAGAAAAAAUCAGAGAAAAAUUAGGCCUCAGUGAAAGGGGA
Molecule: long non-coding RNA, 1366 nt
Filed under: Sarcophilus harrisii (Tasmanian devil)
Lineage: Eukaryota; Metazoa; Chordata; Mammalia; Dasyuromorphia; Dasyuridae
Description: lncRNA (ENSSHAG00000025903.1)
Source: RNAcentral